AUGUAGGGAAGGGAUAAACGCUGAAAGCAUCUAAGUGUGAAGCCCACCUCAAGAUGAGAUUUCCCAUUUCUUUAAGAAAGUAAGAUCCCUGAGAGAUGAUCAGGUAGAUAGGUCAGGAGUGGAAGUACAGUGAUGUAUGGAGCGGACUGAUACUAAUCGAUCGAGGACUUAACCAAU
Molecule: ribosomal RNA, 177 nt
Filed under: Enterococcus faecium
Lineage: Bacteria; Bacillati; Bacillota; Bacilli; Lactobacillales; Enterococcaceae
Description: partial 23S ribosomal RNA
Rfam family: Bacterial large subunit ribosomal RNA
Source: RNAcentral